This 506-nucleotide ribosomal RNA is filed under the name uncultured bacterium. RNAcentral describes it as "partial 16S ribosomal RNA". It matches the Rfam family "Bacterial small subunit ribosomal RNA", at positions 29 to 523 of the family's 1533-position model. The record is from RNAcentral.
AGUGAACGCUGGCGGUAGGCCUAACACAUGCAAGUCGAACGGCAGCACAGGAGAGCUUGCUCUCUGGGUGGCGAGUGGCGGACGGGUGAGGAAUACAUCUGAAUCUACUUUUUCGUGGGGGAUAACGUAGGGGAACUUACGCUAAUACCGCAUACGACCUACGGGUGAAAGCAGGGGACCUUCGAGCCUUGCGCGAUUGAAUGGGCCGAUGUCGGAUUAGGUAGUUGGCGGGGUAAAGGCCCACCAAGGCGACGAUCCGUAGCUGGUCUGAGAGGAUGAUCAGCAACACUGGAACUGAGACACGGUCCAGACUCCUACGGGAGGCAGCAGUGGGGAAUAUUGGACAAUGGGCGCAAGCCUGAUCCAGCCAUACCGCGUGGGUGAAGAAGGCCUUCGGGUUGUAAAGCCCUUUUGUUGGGAAAGAAAUCCAGCUGGCUAAUACCCGGUUGGGAUGACGGUACCCAAAGAAUAAGCACCGGCUAACUUCGUGCCAGCCGCCGCGGUAA